RNAcentral lists this long non-coding RNA (472 nucleotides) under Physcomitrium patens. RNAcentral's name for it is "long non-coding RNA (PPAT_LNC000289)". The record is from RNAcentral. Lineage: Eukaryota; Viridiplantae; Streptophyta; Bryopsida; Funariales; Funariaceae.
UGCAUGAGGUAGCUAAAUGCUUAUCUCAAUUUCAUUUUACUACAUCUAUAUAUUUGUGAGAAUGUAGAAUAGCAAUUGCAAAGGAAAGUUCAUUAUGUAAGGUCUAACGUUUGUUAUUUUUUAUUUUUAAUUUCUUUUCCUAAACUAUUGAAGACAUAGUGAAUUAGUAUUGCAAGAAGCAAGUGUUAAGACUUCCUAAUGUGAUAUAUUUGUCUUUGAAUUCCAAAAAAUACACCUUUCUAAUAUUAAGUCAAUAGUAGAAUUUUUUUUUAAUGAUGAUUAGAAUGGAUGGAUCGAUUUAAUAAUGCUUGGAUCAAUUUAACAAUUCUCUUGUUUUAUAUGUAUUGUACAAAAUAUUUAUAUUUUAUAAUACUUCACAAGCAGAUGUCAAUAUCAUACCACUAUGUAGAUGUUCCAUUUGUAUCAAUUACACUUAAAUUAUUUUAAAAAUAUAAAUUAUUUUGUAUAUAUA